GACUUGGCAGAAUUAGAUGCGAUUGAUUUAGGAUCAAUUUAUAAUAUUAGAUAUUAGUC
This 59-nucleotide transfer RNA is filed under the name Nembrotha kubaryana. RNAcentral describes it as "tRNA-Leu". Lineage: Eukaryota; Metazoa; Mollusca; Gastropoda; Nudibranchia; Polyceridae. The record is from RNAcentral.